RNAcentral lists this long non-coding RNA (1873 nucleotides) under Homo sapiens (human). RNAcentral's name for it is "HSALNT0181321". Lineage: Eukaryota; Metazoa; Chordata; Mammalia; Primates; Hominidae. The record is from RNAcentral.
GGCAAAUUCACCCUUAAUCUGGUGGGCACAAUAUAAUCAGCUUCCAGCAAAUAUAAAGCAGGCACAAAAACCUGAAAAAAGAAAGAUGGGCCCAGCCUCUCAGCCUACAUCUUUCUCCUAUGCUGAAUGCUUCCUUCCCUCGAACAUCAGACUCUGGGUUCUUCAGUUUUGGGACUCAGACUGGCUUUCAGCUUGCAGACAGCCUACUGUGGAACCUUGUGAUCGUGAAAGUGUGGUUAGAAAACUCAGAAAGAUGACAGAAAAAUCAAGAAGCAGACUGAGAAGACUUGGGGUCUUAGAGGCUGAAGAAACUCAGAAGGCCCAAAAUGAAGUUGAACUUAGUUGUUAUGGCCCAAGAACUGACUCUGGGUGGACAGAGGGGUCUCUACAGCCUUGAAAUGUCAUAGUCAUUUACUCCUCCCCAGUUCCCACCCUCCAAAGAGUUCAGAGCUCUGUAAAGAGGGUAGAGGUUCAUCUUGAUUAGUCUCUGAUUUUUAGAGAAAAUAAUCAUUAUCAUGCCAUGUUCUCUGUGAUGGCCACCUCAGAUGGGAUGCAGGUGGUGGAGUAGAGACAGGCUGGUGUACAGGAGAAGUGGAAGAUGGAGUGAUGGAUAAUAGGUGGUUCUAAAGGAUGGAUCCAAGACUAGCUUAGGAUGCAACCACCAUACAAUACUGUUCUCCAUCCAGAAACCUACCAGGGCCAUCAAGCAAAACCUUUGGAAAAGAGAAGGCACAGACAGAACAGUAAAUUAUAAAGAAGCUUGUUUUCUUGCAGUCAGGCUGGGACAAACUUCAGCAAGAAGAAUAGUGAAAUUCAACAAAGACAGAUUUUCCCCACCCACUUCAUGCCAAAGAAGGACAAUCACAUGCCUACCUCUCAGAAACUUUCUCUAGAAGGGGAGAAAAGAAGGGGAAAAGAGAUCCCAAAAUGGAAAACCAUUUCAGCCUGUUCUUUUUUAAAAGCUUUAUUGAAGUAUAAUACGGUGUACCUUUUUUUAAUUUCUUUUUUUUUUUCCGUUGAGACAGAGUCUGACUCUGAUGCUCAGGCUGGAGCAUAGUGGCACGAUCUCAGCUCACUGCAAUCUCCGCCUCCCGGGUUCAAGUGAUCCUCUCACCUCAGCCCCCCAAGUAGCUAGGACUACAAGCGCAUGCCACCACGCCAAGCUAAUUUUUGUAGUAUUAGUAAAGUCGGGGUUUCACCAUGUUGGCCAGGCUGGCCUCGAACUCCUGACCUCAAGUGAUCCACCCACCUCAGCCUCUCAAAGUGUUGGGAUUACAGGUGUGAGCCACCACACCCAGCCUCAGUGUAGCUAAAGUGUAAAAUGUGAUGAGUUUCAACAUAUGUGUGUACCAGUAAAGCCAUCACCACAAUCAAGAUAACAAACAUCCUCAUCAUACGUAAAAUAUCCUGUGCCCCUUUGUAAUCCAUCCCUGCCUCCACUCCCAUCCUCAAAACACCACUGAUGUGCUUUCUGUCACUAUAGAUUAAUUUGUAUUUUGUACAAUUCUUUAUGAAUGGAAUUAUACAGCACCUACUCUGCAUCAAUAAUUUGUUCCUUGUUAUUACUGAGCAUCAUUCCAUUACAUGGAUAUGUCACAAUUUGCUUAUCCAUUCACCUGGCAAUGGCCAUUUGGGUUGUUUGCAAUAUUUGGCAGCCUCAAAUAAAGCUGCCAUCAACCUGUAUAAGAAGGUAAAAAGCAGGCCAAUAUUUGACUAUGGUUUGCCCAGGGCAGGGAUCAUCUCUCCUUGACAACUCUAUUCAUGACAACUGUAAAGCUUCCUGUUUUAUAAGACUUUAGGGUUUAAGAUCUUUAACCUUCAUGGCCUCGUUAGGUAUUCAGGUAGGUGAUGUAGGUUUUAGGCAUGAUGGCAG